Molecule: long non-coding RNA, 3982 nt
Filed under: Patiria miniata (bat star)
Lineage: Eukaryota; Metazoa; Echinodermata; Asteroidea; Valvatida; Asterinidae
Description: uncharacterized LOC119726221
Source: RNAcentral
UCCAAUUUCCAGGAUGUAGACUACUGGCACCAUUCAACUCCACAUCACUGGAGCGGGAGCAAACGUGAUGACUCUACAACAGCCUUCCUGCGACGAUGUUCAGCCUCAUCAGUCAGAUCUACCAGGCACAGAUCAGCAAGGAUUGUGAUCCACUUAUAUCACCCACCUUGGCUCUAAGAGGUGGACUACACAGCAAUAACGAUCAACAUCAGCCGGACUUCAGCAGAGACGAUGCUCCUCAUGAGUGGAUCCUGAAGGCAGACUGAUGGGGGCUUCAGCGGCUCAGCCCUAGCCAGGAAUUUCCAUCUUGGCCACCAACCAACCAACGGGGAGACGUACCUGAAGUUGUUGCGCAUUUGGAUAAAUCUGGACAGCAUCAUGUACACACUAUGGAACUGAUCAUCGCACGUGGAAGGCAAUUAUUUGGCCAGACGCCCCCCCCCCUCCACCUCGACCACUUCAGCUUUAGCUUAUUAGGAUUUGGAGCCACAAAGGAACUGGAUUGUUACACAUUUUUCAACUGGAUCGCGAAAUGAACCGAACUUAAAACCCGCGUAAUUUCUUGCGAUUCGACUCUACGGUUAAAUAAGAAUUGUUUCAAGUUUCCCAUACUUCUGACCUGUUGCUGAUGUGGAUGUCUUCAUUUGUCGUGCAAGAAGAAAGGGAUGCAAUGCCCAAACUGUUUAGACAUUUAUCUACAAAGGCCACGUGCGUUUGUGAACUCUGUACACUCGCGAGACCCUCUUCUAUGGAGAAACCAUUGUCCGUGCUUUGAACCUUUUCGCUUGAAGACUGAUGGAACUUUUCAUUGCCAGAACUUUCAUGCAGGGUGGUGGGAAAAAUUGAGACAGCUGAGUUUUGAAAUGUUUGAAAUUGGAAUUUUGUUAAGUUUUGGCUUGUUUUGGUUAAAAUGUUGAUUGUUUGCUGUUACGGCAUCCCUCUUUUUAUUCAAUGGUUUUCAUUUUCAUGGUGUUAACUCACAAUUAAUUCUUUGCUUAAAAAAUGAGAUAAUGCACACUUUGCAUCAUUUUAUUGAGCUAUCUAUAGGCCUGAUGGUUGGAACUGGAAUUUUUCUUCAGGUUUUUAAUUUCUGCAAACCGAUUUAAGAGGCAGAAAAAGAACAAUGAAAACCAUGGAAAUAAACAGAGAUGCCCUUAUAUUCUUUUAAUGUUACAUGUUGCAACUUGUAUAGAAAAAUAACCCAUUUCGAUAUUCGCAAUGCAUUUGAAGACUGAUAGAACUUAUCGUUAUCGGAACUUUCAUGAGUGGUGGUGGGAAAUAUUGAGACAGCUGAGUUUUCAAAUGUUUGAUAUUAGAAUUCUUUUUAAGUCAUGACUUAUUUUGGUUAAAAUUUUGAUACUUUUGCUAUUAGGGCAUCCCUCUUUUGUGGUUCUCAUUUCUCACAAUAACUUGUUGCAUAAACUCGGCAUAAAUUAACAGUCUGCAUAAUUUAACGAAGCCAUCUAAAGACAAAUUCCGCGGCAGCCAUUUUCUGCAAUGGUGCAAGGUUUGCACGUGUUGCGCUCAAGUGUGACGCAUGUGCUUCAGGCUCCUUCAACCAUGUGCUUGAGCUUAAAACCACUGCAGUAAAAGCUGCUAAUUCUGGUAGCCAGAUUCCAGUUUAUUGGUGGAUCAGAUUUUCUUCUGAUGUUUAUUUUCUGCAAACCGACCACUUCAGAGGCAAAGAAAACCAAAAACAAAAAAACCAAAAACUGUGAGAACUAUAAACAAUAAGGGAAACCCUCAUAUGAUGUAUGUUACAUGUUAUGAUCUAUGCAAUGUUAUAUGCUAUGAUCUAUGCAAAGAAAAAUACAGUCGAGUCUCGUUAUAACAAACUCGUUCAGACCCAGCCAAAUUGUUUGUUAUAUCAGAAUUUUGUAUUAAGAGGAACAUCAGUCCCUUUCAUUGUGCAUAUAAAUGCACAGUCGGGACUAAGACUUUAUGUUUGUUAUAACCAGAAUUUUGUACUAACAGAGUUUGUACUAACGAGAGUCGACUGUAACCUGUUUCGAUAUUUACAAUGCAUCUUGGAUAUGGAUGGCAAACCUAGCAAUAUGUACACAAGCAUGAACCAAUUAAAGAUGAACUUUAAUUAAUGGAAUCGUGCCAGAACUGUCCAAAGACAUCCUUGCCACUCUUGGUUUGCCAUGAUUACACUUGUGCCCGUCAAACAAUAUUAUGUUCUAAAGUACCAGUGAAAUGUAGGGCCAACUUGCUAGUACCUGCAUUGAAAUAAUUCCAACAGUUAAACUGAAAUCUUAAAUAUGAGUGACUUGAUUUAAAAUACAUUAACAGACUAAAUCUUGAUGAUGUUAGUCUUCAAGAACAUAGAUGUGUUAAACCAAGUCUUCAAAUUGAUUUAUAAUAAUCAAGAAAACUGAAGUAGCACAGUAAACCUAUCCCAUUUCAUGCUAAUAAAAGUAAAAUGAACUUCCACAAUUAUUAAUGAUGUUAAUUAUUGAUGCUUAAUUAAACUUCAAGGAUGUAAAUACCUAGAAUUUAGUCUUCAAAUUGAGUUGUUAAUAUUAGAAAACAUAGGUAGCACAGUAAACCUAACCCAAACCUAAGGUCAAUGCUUAUAUCUAAACAAAAAACCUUUUAAAUAUUCAUCAUGAUGUUUAACCCUCAAUGAUAUAGUUUCCUAGAACUAAGUCUUCAUAUUGAUUUAAAAUGGAUAUCAUCAGUAAACCAAACAUUAACCUAAGGUCAAUGCUACUAAAAUUACAAUAAAACUCUAAGGAAAAAAACAAUCUUUACGCUUGGAUCUCGAGAAAUGGAUGUCUAAAACUAAUUUCUUCAACCUGAUUUAAAGUAAACUAGACAACGGGCAGUACAGUGAAUGUAAACGAACCUGAGGUCAAACCUAAUUAAAGUAAAAUUAAAGUUUAAAUAUUAAGCAACUAUCUUGAGAGGGUAAAUCCAGUUUUGAAUACAAAUGCAAUGUACCGGUAGCAUCCAAGUAUGCCAAAGUCAUUUUGUAUCAACUGCACAAAAGUGUAGACCUGACCCUUGCAGUAUUUUUUGAGGUCAUUACCCUGCAUGGCUAUCAUUAACUAUCUUAACCACUAACCAGCAAAGACCCAUCAAAAUUCUGCAAUGACUUGAAAUAUUACAUGCUUUUGGGAACUUGUGCAAUUUGUUGCCUGUUUUUCAAAUCUGGAUUGCCACACAAGUAUUUUUGUAGUGUAAUAUGUACAAAAUUUAUGGAAAAGCAAAAGUCAACUCAGAAAAUCAAACAAAUUAGUCAACUUUACUAUUGGUACAAAAAGGAGAAGAAAUUUAAAGUUUUAAGAAAUACUUUCGGAACGUAGAUUAUAAAGAAAUAAUCUAAAUAUUCUAAAAAAGCACCAGGAAUUUGGAUUUUCUAACCAUAUAUUCUACUGAAAGGAAAUUUUAUUUUAAAAUCUUCAUACUUAGUAUGGACAGAAUUGAAAUCGAAGAACUUGGAUGAAAAUGAUUAAUAUGGUAAAAAGAUGAGCUGGACCUAACCAUUAAAUGGCACAUUAAGAGAAAUAAUGUAAAAAAACUGACCAGAAAAAACUGUAGAGCAUAAAUCUAAACACAUUUUAAAUGAACAAUGAACUUAUUUUCAGCAAUAACUGCGUGGUCUUUAAGUAAAGACAGAAGUCUUAAAAUGAUUCAAGUUGGCCCUGGACAAACUUGGAACUAUGACAAUAAGAACAGUCAAUUUAGAAGAAUGUGAAAGUCUUUGUGGAGAAAUGUUGAAAAUCACCCCCAAAUUGCUGCAGGAUAAACUUAAAACUCAAUACUUAAAUGCAAAGAAAACUGGCCCUUUUCAAUAUUCGCAGGGAAUCGCACUACAUCUUGGAUACAGAGGAUAAAAAUGUCAAGAUUAUUUCUGUAUUUUUAAGUUUAAAAAAGUGACAUUUAUUUAGAAAUCUAUUUUUUAUAUUCUAUGCAUUUACGGGUAUGAAAACUUCAUAGGUUUGUGCAUAAAUGGCAAUGCUUGUUUGUUACCCAU